Molecule: ribosomal RNA, 301 nt
Filed under: uncultured bacterium
Lineage: Bacteria
Description: partial 16S ribosomal RNA
Rfam family: Bacterial small subunit ribosomal RNA
Source: RNAcentral
CAGUCGCCGCGGUAAUACGUAGGUGGCGAGCGUUGUCCGGAAUUAUUGGGCGUAAAGGGAGCGCAGGCGGACAUAUAAGUCCAUCUUAAAAGUGCGGGGCUCAACCCCGUGAGGGGAUGGAAACUGUAUGCCUUGAGUGCAGGAGAGGAAAGCGGAAUUCCCAGUGUAGCGGUGAAAUGCGUAGAUAUUGGGAGGAACACCAGUGGCGAAGGCGGCUUUCUGGACUGCAACUGACGCUGAGGCUCGAAAGCCAGGGGAGCGAACGGGAUUAGAGACCCCCGUAGUCCCUGUCUCUUAUACA